ACACUGGUUAUUGUGAACUGUGUGAGAUAACACAUGAAGAGCACUUAGCAAGGUACCUGGCUCACAGAUUUGCUGAGCACCUACUAUGCAUCAGACGCUGUGUUCUAGGCAAGGGGGAUACACCUGAUGGAAGAAGGUCCUUCCCUAGACGUAGCUAACAUCCCAGUGUGGGAGAUGACACGAAACAGUGAGAUUUGACAUGCCUGUGUAACACGGACGGAGCUGUGGAGUUAGUAGCUGGGCAUGAGGCUGGAGUGCAGGGGAGACGCCUGGCCCGGAGUCACCCCAGAUGAGUAUGGUGGAAAUGAUGUCACGCCCACUCCAGGCCUAACCUCUAGGAGGACUGGCAGUUUCUGCUAUGGCCUCUGGGAGCCAUGAGCUGCCAUGAAAAAGGUCAAACUACUCUGCUGGAGACACCCACCUGGAGAAGCCCUGGGAUUCCAUGGAGAGGCAGACGGACCCAGCUGAGCUCAGUGUUCCAGCCAUCCCCACGAAAGCACCAGGAACCUGAGUGAAACCAUCUCGAUCCUCCAGCAUAGCACAAUCAGCAGCUGAAGAUCACUGAGUGACUCUAGUCGGCGCUCCAUGGAUCACUGAAGGAUCACCCAGCUGAGCCCUGCGCAAAUUUCUGACUCACAAAACUGUAGACGAUACAAUGGUUGUUGUUUGGGGGCAGUUUGUUAUGCUGUAGCAAUAAAUAGCCAGAAGAGACCAAGAGGCAGAAGUUGUUUGCUGAAAAUAAUGCAAAAAUUAUACCAGCCCUUGCCCAGCUACCUCCGGAUUUCUUGCUACAUGAAAAAAAAAAAAAAAAUCCCUAUUUGUUUAAGCCUCGUUGACACCUUGGGCUAUUGCUCAGUCCUCAGUUUUCCAUUUGUUAAAUGGAGCAUUAGCUCCUGUCUUACUACUUCCCAAAGGUGCCUGAGAGGGUAGAGUAAGAAUGAAGAAGAGAAGGCCUUUUUCAUGUAAUAUAAACAGUGCUUAUGUUCCCAAAGAUCAGCGAGUGACAUGCUCAAACAGUUAUAAUAUAUUUAAUGUGGUCAUAAUGGGAGUGAACUUGUCAUGAACCAAUUGCAAUGGAUUUUGGAAUCAGACACGUUAGGGCUUGAGGCUCUCAGCUCUGCUAGACAAACUUCUAACUUGACAAAUAGGCCAGUCAUUAAAUCUCUCCAAGCCUUAGUUCCCUCAUCAAUAAAGCACAGACGAUGUGAUUUCCCUCCGUUGAGUCUGUGUGAGGAUUAAAUUAAAUGAGAUUCAUCCAUCUAUUUGAUAAAUAUUGAAUAUCUCCUAGGGUCUAGGCCAAACACACUCUUGAUAUUGGUGGAGGCUGGUGUCCACUCACCCUUAAAUCUAAAUAUUUAAAAAUUAUAAAUCAGACCAAUACCUUCUCUUAAAUGUUCUAUCCUUCUCCUCAGUAAGUAUAACUUCUCAGCAGCCUGAAAGGCCAGGAUUGAUUUGGAUUUCUUAGAUACUCGCACUGAAAUGUGGCGGUGCUGGGGAGAGCCAGCCCCAUUCCCUGGUCGCUCAUUUCCCAGCCUAUAAACUGCCACCUUCCCUUCUCAUCCCCAGCUCCAUCCUGUACCGUGCACACCUCACCUGCAUGUGUGUAGACAUCCCAGGCUGCAGGUCCAAUCUCCAUCCACACCCUAUCCUCUGCAGUGCCCCUUGGCUACACCCUGGGCUUAGUGUUCUGCCUCCAGACAAUAGACCAGGAAGAGGCCUGGCAGCAGGCUUGGGACUUUUAGGUAGGGAGCUCAGGAAUCCUAGGAAUCUGUAGUAUUCUAGACAAGGAGCAAAGACUUGGAUGGGUAUAUCCCCUUGGCACUGCAGACUCUCUAGCCUGUGGGGAUGUACGCAGCUGGAGGCUGGCCAGGGCAGAGCCCCGCUUGCCUGGGUCCAAGGAUGGGCUGGUCAGCCUGUGCUAGGUGCUGCAGGUACAUGAGUAGAUGAAGCAGAUACCACCCCUGCUUCUCCUACUCAAAGGUGAAGACACAUCCCUGAAGUCAGGGCCUCAGUCUUAGCCCUAUCUAUAAGAUGAGGGCUUACCUGAUCUGACAUCAGGUAAUGUUGGAGACUUGGUGUACGUCCUCAGGAAUGUCCUAGAAGCCAGGAGGUCAGAUGAGGAGGGGCAAGCUUAAGGCCUAAGCAAUCAACUUCCUCCUUGAACCUAAGGCUGGCAAGGCAGGAAGGGCACCCACCCUCUGGUCCAACUCCAUCCACGCAACUCCUUCAGUGGCCAUAACAACACAACUUCCCAUCACACCUAGAAUAAAAGUCCAGCUCCUUGCCGAGACCUGCAAAGCCUGCUACCCCCAGCUGCUGACCAUCUCCAGUCUCCUUACUACUGCUCACUGAGUUCCAUCCUUAUGUUCAUGAAACCCCACAUCUACUCUCCCACCUCAAGGCCUUUGCCCUUGCUGUUUUCUCUGCUGGACACGCCCAGCUCUUUGCAUGGCUAGUUCCUCUCACUGUGCAGGCCUCAGCUUACUCUCUUGCACAGAGACGUCCAUUGACAUCCUUUUAGGAGCAGCUCCUGUCUAGCCCCAGCUCUCUCUUGGGCGUGUCACCACUUUACAUCCUUCCUAGUACAGCCAAAACUGGUGUAAUGGAGUGUGCAAAAGCUUCCACUUGGGGCUGGACUGGCUGGGUCGAAACCCAGGCUGGGCCCAAUAUUCUCAAGUGCCGAGCCUACCUACUGCGCACUUGAGGCUAUUGUUCAACCUGGUUCCCCACAUAUCGUGCAACCUGUUGUUUCUCCACCUAUCGUGCAACCUGUUUCUCCACAUAUUGUUCAACUUCCUAUUUCCCUUCAAUAGAUUAUUCAACCAGCAUUUUCCUAUCUGUACAAGGGAGUGAGGAUUACAUGACCUAAUGUGCAUAUAGCAUAGAGCAGAGCCUGGCAUAAGCGCUGCAUUGGUGUUUGCUACGAUAUUAACACUUGUUGCUAUUUGAAAUUAUUUUGUCUGUAUGUUUCUUGUUUAUUUCCCUCUUCUCUCUGACAGGCAAACUCCCCACAACAGCCUCCUCAACGCUGCCUCCCACAGUGCUUGGACAAAAUAAUUACAGCAAGAUGCGGGCACUGAGCUGACUCCUUAUGUAGGACAUCCCAGUGCAGGUAGAGAAACUGAGGGACAGUUGGAGGUUCCUUGCCCUUGGUGAUGCGGUGAGAGGGCCUGCAGGCACCAGCCCGGCCGCCCGCACCGCUUCUCGCGGACCCCAGCGGAGCCGCGCUUCUCGUGCCGCUCCUGAGGGUUUCCGCGGCGCCGGCGUUUUUGUUCCCGGCGCGUUUAAGUCGUUGAGGCCGAAUCAAGCGAAGGCGGAAAAGCGGCGCGCAGCCCGCGUCAGCUGCAGUUCCGUCCCCCUGGUUCCCGGUGCGCUAACAAAGGCAUUUGCAUGAAAACAGGAACCCCGUCUGCAGAAAGGACUCGUUGGCGGGGUGCAUCGUGCGCUCCAGUGCCCCUACCGCGGCGCCCCGCUCCCCAGGUGGGGAAGAAGCGGGGUGCGGGGACUGGCCCCAAACACGGCUCGGCCGGCGGGGACCGGCACGCUGCGGCCCGGGCGACCCCCUUCUCCGCCCCUUUCCCAGGCCGGCGGAAACGGCCGUCUCGGGCGUGGGCGCGCUUCUGCGGACUCCUCGGGACCUUUUACCCAGGCGUGCGGCCGGGGCGCCCGGGGCCUCGGGGAGCCGGCGCCAGCGUGCGGAGCGCAGCGGAGCGGAGGGAGCGGCGGGAGCGGCGUCCGUGGCUGGUCCAGGUCUGGGGCGCAGCCUCCAGGCUCGCCCUGCGCCGCUCUGGGCCUCGGCCUCUUCGCCUGUUCGACCGGGGCGCAAGCGUGUCACAGCGCCUGUCUGCAGGGGGAAGCGGGCUUCCCAGAGGGGCGCGUGGCUCGCAGAGGGGCUCCGGGAAUAUCCGCUCCGUUGGCCCUUUCCAGAGCUUUUCCUUAGCUGCUUCUCCUUUGAAAUCCGCCUUUUUCCCAGCAGCCCUUGGAGGCAGGAUAAAUUAAGUGGUAAAAGCAGAGGAUUAGGAACCGGGAACCCUGGAUUCAAAUCCUGCCCGCCGCUGACCAGCUUUGUAACCAUGAGCAGGUUACUCCGCCUCUGGAGGCCUCAGCUUCCCCGUCUGUAAAAUGGGGCCUAACACAGUCCAGAAAGUGCUUAGUGCCGCAGUGUCACACACCGAGUGCUUAAUUCAUUCUUAAAAUUAUCACUUCCAGCUGUGGGACAGGCGCAGGGUAGAAAGGGGUUUUCUUAAGGUCACAGGCGGGGUCAAAGGCAAACCCUCCGGGUCCUCACAAGUAAGACUUGCGAAGCAGCAAGUUCCCCAAAGGGUCUUAUCCAGCCGGGUAAGGAGCGCCGGGGCAUCUCCCCCCUCUCUCUCCGCGAAGACGCACAAGCAAUGGCUGGCGAACCUACUGCCUGGAAUGGGGUUCUUGGGUCGAGACCUUUAAAAAAAUAAAGAAGAGGAAGAAGAAAGAAAGAAAACAAACAAACAUGCACGCAAAAACGGAAUGCCAGAGCCUUUGAUCUAGGAGCCAGCUUGCUAUUCAGGGCCGACCACCGUCUCGCCGCAGUUCCUCCCCGGGAAGGAAGCCUCGCGCUGCCCUCCGGUGGCAGGCGAGGUAGUGUCGCCUGGGCGCAACUCACAAGCAGGGGUUUACCGGAGAAGCCAGCUUCGCUCUGCGCGGGUGGGGGCUGUGGGGGAGAGAGGAGGGAAAAUCGGAAUUGUUCCCUGACUGCUGUUUUUUGGUCCCGGUGGAUCUUGGGAGUCUUGGAAAGAGAAUAAUAAGGCUCUCUGCAUUUGAAAGGCAUAGGAGUUUUUACAUUCUGGUUUUAUUUAUUUUUGAAUGGAUAACACAUUUACACGAUUCAAAAGAUAAAAAAGAGGAUAGCGUGAAAAGGAAGUCUCGCUUCCACUCUUGUUCCCCAGGCACCCAGUUCCCCUUCCUAGAGACAGCCAUUGUUACAUGUUUCUGUGUACCCACCCGGAGACAGUCCAUGCAAAUGCAAGUAUUUUACAGGAUCAAUAGUAGCUUGCUCUGUAUACUCUUCUGCCUCUUGCUGCUUCGCUUAAAAAUGCAUCAUGGAGUUUGUUCCAUGUUGAUUCACAUAGGGCUGCCUCGUUCUUUUGAACAGCUGCAUAAUAUUCCAUUGUUUGGCUCUCCUGUAAUUAUUUGAUCAGUGUUCUAUUGAUGAGCCUUGAGGCUGCUUCUAAUCUUCUGUAAUCACAGUGUGUUACAACAAAUAAGCACCUACAUGCAUUGUUAUGCCUAGGUGCCAGUGAGGCACAUAGCUAUUGCGGUAUAACAAACCACUCCGAAAUUCAGUGGCUUUAAAUAGAAAGCUUUUGGUAUUGCUCAUGUGGGUCAGCUGGGUAGCACUGCUGAUCUGGGCCAAGCUCAGCUAACUUUGCAUUUGCUCCUUGUGUCUGGGAUCAGAAAGGGUGGGUCAGCUGGGGCUGGUUUAUUUAGGAUGGUCUAAAUCACAUGUCUGGUAGUUGACUGGCUAUCAGCUAGGGUUAGAGGGGUGUUCAGGCUAUGUGUCCGUCAACAUCUGAUAACAUGCAGUGCCUCCUGAGACUGUAUAACUGGUGUGAAUUUACAUCCAUUACAUUCUGUUGGUGCAAACAUGUCACAAGCCAGCCCAGAUUCAAGAGGUGGGGAAAUAGAAAUCACUUCUCCCAGGGAGGAGCAGCAAAGUCACACGGCAGAGUAUGAUGCAAGGGCCCUGAGGUAUUGUGGCCAUUUAAAAAUAUAUUUAUAAUGUUAUAGUUAGCAUUAUGGUGAUAACAUUACCUUUGGAUAUAAACAUUACCUUUGCCAUUACCUGACAGACGUUACCUCAAGCCUCAAGGCUCAUCAACAGAAGACUGAUCAAAUAAUUAACAACAAUAAUAAUUAACAACAACAAUAAUUUCAACAGAAGACUGAUCAAAUAAUUAACUAGGCCAUCAGGGUUGACAUUAAGUGAUAUUGAUAUUGAUAGCAUAUUCUCUUGAUAUAACUUUUUGAGAAUGACACUGUACCUCUGUGGUUUUCCUCCCCCAAACCAGUCUAAUAAUAACCCCAGUCUAAUAAUGAGAAUAGCCUCACAGAAUAGCCGCUAUGCACAGCCUCCACUUAAGGGAUGGGGAGUUAUGCUUCACUUCCUUGAGGGGGCAGUAUGUAAUAAGUUAUUUGGAAUUCUUCUGCUACUGGUUUAUUCAGUCAUUUAUUCUAUCCGUGUGCACUCAUGGAUAUUUAUUUUGUACUUUUCAUUAUAAUCCAAUACUAUGUUAUUUAUAUUGUUGCUUAAAUUGUUCCAGUUUUGGCGCCUGGGAGCUCUCUCUAUUGGCUCCUGUUUCCCUUUGCCAUAAUUUUUUGUUAUGUUUUUGAGCCCUUCCUUACUUUCUGGCACUAAAGCUGCUCCAGACUCAUCUUGCAUAUUUUCUUCCCAGCCCUAGAAUCAGCCGUUUCUCCAGGGAGCCCGGUUCCUUUCACUGGAGAAUGUUCUUAGAAACAGAUCUGGAUG
RNAcentral lists this long non-coding RNA (6502 nucleotides) under Homo sapiens (human). RNAcentral describes it as "non-protein coding lnc-PDYN-1:19". The record is from RNAcentral. Lineage: Eukaryota; Metazoa; Chordata; Mammalia; Primates; Hominidae.